RNAcentral lists this long non-coding RNA (619 nucleotides) under Macaca mulatta (Rhesus monkey). RNAcentral describes it as "lncRNA (ENSMMUG00000063262.1)". Lineage: Eukaryota; Metazoa; Chordata; Mammalia; Primates; Cercopithecidae. The record is from RNAcentral.
AUGCUCACUGCGCCUGCGCUGGCUGUGUUUCCCACCCCCAGGCUGCUGCUGUCCCUACCGAAUCUUGCUGUGUGCGUUGAGAUCAGAAAAUGGGCAAUUUUUCUCAGCUCCUCAGGCUCCAAGGUGCUGGCAACACGGGAAGGAGAUGAGAGAUCAAGAAAUAUUAUCCAGUGGCUCUAUGCAGUUCAAAGGGUAGAAGAAAGAAGACCCAGUCAAGGUUUUCGGAUUGGCAGUCUCCAGGUGACAUCUGGUUUUUCUGCCUCCCCCCGAAGGUGGAACAGCAUUGGAAUAGCUUUCCUUACUAGAUACUGGAAAUCCAAUCAGACAUGGGAUGAUCAAGUAUCUAAUCUCCUGGAGCUCCAAGUGCCUUGCUAUCAUUUUCAUACAGGAGGGGCUCAGAGACAGAUGAAAUCAUCACAGAUGGGUUUCAAGGUACGAGAGAAUCACCUUGACUCUGUGUCUCACAGAGCACUUAGUGUAAGACUGAAAAUUUAUUUAUCACCUACAUCAAAGGAAAAGGCUCACAUGGAUGUUGCUGAAUGACCAACACUCCCAGACACACACACUCUCCCGAUCCUUCAUCUAAUGGUUUAGUUAUGGUUCUCAGAGUGUAGAGAAG